GGGUUCGUGGUCUGGGGUCGGUGCACUCGUAAUGCGCAGGUCUCGGGUUCGAAUCCCGAAGGCGGCUCCA
Molecule: transfer RNA, 70 nt
Filed under: Streptomyces sp. SAI-144
Lineage: Bacteria; Bacillati; Actinomycetota; Actinomycetes; Kitasatosporales; Streptomycetaceae
Description: tRNA-Thr
Source: RNAcentral